RNAcentral lists this ribosomal RNA (253 nucleotides) under uncultured bacterium. RNAcentral's name for it is "partial 16S ribosomal RNA". It matches the Rfam family "Bacterial small subunit ribosomal RNA", at positions 524 to 776 of the family's 1533-position model. The record is from RNAcentral.
UACGUAGGGUGCAAGCGUUAUCCGGAAUCAUUGGGUUUAAAGGGUCCGUAGGCGGUUUAAUAAGUCAGUGGUGAAAUCUGGUCGCUCAACGAUCAAACGGCCAUUGAUACUGUUAGACUUGAAUUACUGGGAAGUAACUAGAAUAUGUAGUGUAGCGGUGAAAUGCUUAGAUAUUACAUGGAAUACCAAUUGCGAAGGCAGGUUACUACCAGUGGAUUGACGCUGAUGGACGAAAGCGUGGGGAGCGAACAGG